AUAUCCUAAUCAUAGCAUCAUCUAGACCCUUGAUUAUCAAGGAAGGUUCUAAUACCAUUGUAAGGCUGUAGUAUGGCAGCGAAAGGGUAAUGUUCAAAAAUUUUUAUUUAAUGAACAUCAAGACAACCGAAUCCUAGAAUCCAAAAAUCUCUUGAUAAUUACCAUCAAAGCAGAAUUUAAAUAUUUUAUUCAGAAGCAUACCUGUAU
RNAcentral lists this long non-coding RNA (207 nucleotides) under Elaeis guineensis (African oil palm). RNAcentral describes it as "long non-coding RNA (EGUI_LNC029712)". The record is from RNAcentral. Lineage: Eukaryota; Viridiplantae; Streptophyta; Magnoliopsida; Arecales; Arecaceae.